RNAcentral lists this ribosomal RNA (625 nucleotides) under Ciliophora sp. Its description in RNAcentral is "SSU rRNA". It matches the Rfam family "Eukaryotic small subunit ribosomal RNA", at positions 341 to 980 of the family's 1831-position model. Lineage: Eukaryota; Ciliophora. The record is from RNAcentral.
CUACCAUGGCUUUUACGGGUAACGGAGGAUUAGGGUUCGAUUCCGGAGAGGGAGCCUGAGAAACGGCUACCACAUCUAAGGAAGGCAGCAGGCGCGUAAAUUACCCAAUCCUGACUCAGGGAGGUAGUGACAAGAAAUAACGGGCCGGGGUUACACCUCGGGACUGCAAUGAGACGAAUUUACACCCCUUAUCGAUCACCAAUUGGAGGGCAAGUCUGGUGCCAGCAGCCGCGGUAAUUCCAGCUCCAAUAGCGUAUAUUAAAGUUGUUGCAGUUAAAAAGCUCGUAGUUGGAUUUCUGGCAGGGGGUAGGAGCCCGCUUGCAGCGUGCGCUCGCCAUCCCCUACCAUCCUUCUGUUAACGUGUCAAGACAUUCACUUGUCGGGCACGGGCUCAGAUAAUCUACCUUGAGAAAAUUAGAGUGUUUCAGGCAGGCUGAUGCCGGGAUACAUUAGCAUGGAAUAAUGGAAUAGGACUUUCGCCUCUUCUGUUGGUCUGAGGGGUGAUCGUAAUGAUUAAUAGGGAUAGUUGGGGGCAUUAGUACUUAACUGUCAGAGGUGAAAUUCUCGGAUUUGUUAAAGACUAACUUAUGCGAAAGCAUUUGCCAAGGAUGUUUUCAUUAAUCAA